AACGAACGCUGGCGGCGUGGUUUAGGCAUGCAAGUCGAACGGUCCCGUUGCAGCAAGAAGGCCAACCGCAAGGAAGGCCGACGAGCAGCUUCGGGAUAGUGGCAAAAGGGUGAGUAACGCGUGGGUAAUUUACCUUCGAAUCGGGGAUAACUCGUCGAAAGGCGAGCUAAUACCGGAUAAGACCACAUCCGCCUCGGCGGAAGAGGUAAAAGAUAGCAUAUUUCUGACUUGUCAGAAGCUGUCGUUUGAAGAUAAGCCCGCGUCCUAUCAGCUUGUUGGUAAGGUAAUGGCUUACCAAGGCAUUUGACGGGUAGCUGGUCUGAGAGGAUGGUCAGCCACACUGGGACUGAGACACUGCCCAGACUCCUACGGGAGGCUGCAGCCGAGAAUCUGUCGGAAUGCCCGAAAGGGUGACGAAGCGACGCCGCGUGAGCGAUGAAGGCCUUCGGGUUGUAAAGCUCUGUUAGGUCGGAUGAAAUCCCCGCCUCGGGCGGGGGCUGACAGUACGACCAGAGAAAGCCACGGCUAACUCCGUGCCAGCAGCCGCGGUAAUACGGAGGUGGCAAGCGUUGUUCGGAUUUAUUGGGUGUAAAGGGCAUGUAGGUGUCCCAUCAAGUUUCUGGUGAAAUCCUUAGGCUCAACCUGAGAACUGCCGGAAAAACUGGUGGGAUUGAGUAUGGGAGAGGAGAGUGGAAUUCCCGGUGUAAGGGUGAAAUCUGUAGAUAUCGGGAGGAACACCAGUAGCGAAGGCGACUCUCUGGCCCAAAACUGACACUGAAAUGCGAAAGCUAGGGGAGCAAACAGGAUUAGAUACCCUGGUAGUCCUAGCCGUAAACGAUGGGCACUAGGUGUAUGUCUAUAUUAGAUGUGCGCCGUAGCUAACGUGUUAAGUGCCCCACCUGGGGAGUACGACCGCAAGGUUGAAACUCAAAGGAAUUGACGGGGGCCCGCACAAGCGGUGGAGCAUGUGGUUUAAUAGGAUGCUACGCCUGGAACCUUACCAGGGCUUGACAUGCUGGAAGUAGAAACCUGAAAGGGGGACGACCUGUCAAAUCAGGAACCAGCACAGGUGUUGCAUGGCUGUCGUCAGCUCGUGUCGUGAGAUGUUGGGUUAAGUCCCUUAACGAGCGCAACCAUCGUCCUUAGUUGCUAAUUCGCCUCUGGCGGAAGCACUCUAAGGAGACUGCCCGCUAUAAGCGGGAGGAAGGUGGUGAUGACGUCAAGUCAGUACGGCCCUUACGCCCUGGGCAACACACGUGCUACAAUGGCCUGUACAAAGGGUUGCCAAGCCGCGAGGUGGAGCUAAUCCCAAAAAGCAGGUCUCAGUUCGGAUUGAAGGCUGCAAUUCGCCUUCAUGAAGUUGGAAUCGCUAGUAACGGCGGAUCAGCUACGCUGCCGUGAAUACGUUCCCGGGCCUUGUACACACCGCCCGUCAAGUCACCUGAGUCGAGUGCACCCGAAGCCACUGGCCUAACUCGCUUCGGCGAGAAGGAGGUGUCGAAGGUGUGUUUGGUAAGGGGGGC
Molecule: ribosomal RNA, 1523 nt
Filed under: uncultured bacterium
Lineage: Bacteria
Description: 16S ribosomal RNA
Rfam family: Bacterial small subunit ribosomal RNA
Source: RNAcentral